RNAcentral lists this ribosomal RNA (465 nucleotides) under Vreelandella stevensii. RNAcentral describes it as "partial 16S ribosomal RNA". It matches the Rfam family "Bacterial small subunit ribosomal RNA", at positions 338 to 795 of the family's 1533-position model. Lineage: Bacteria; Pseudomonadati; Pseudomonadota; Gammaproteobacteria; Oceanospirillales; Halomonadaceae. The record is from RNAcentral.
CCUACGUGAGGCUGCAGUGGGGAAUAUUGGACAAUGGGGGGAACCCUGAUCCAGCCAUGCCGCGUGUGUGAAGAAGGCCCUCGGGUUGUAAAGCACUUUCAGUGAGGAAGAACGCCUGGUGGUUAAUACCCAUCAGGAAAGACAUCACUCACAGAAGAAGCACCGGCUAACUCCGUGCCAGCGGCCGCGGUAAUACGGAGGGUGCGAGCGUUAAUCGGAAUUACUGGGCGUAAAGCGCGCGUAGGUGGCUUGAUAAGCCGGUUGUGAAAGCCCCGGGCUCAACCUGGGAACGGCAUCCGGAACUGUCAAGCUAGAGUGCAGGAGAGGAAGGUAGAAUUCCCGGUGUAGCGGUGAAAUGCGUAGAGAUCGGGAGGAAUACCAGUGGCGAAGGCGGCCUUCUGGACUGACACUGACACUGAGGUGCGAAAGCGUGGGUAGCAAACAGGAUUAGAUACCCUUGUAGUC